Molecule: ribosomal RNA, 756 nt
Filed under: uncultured bacterium
Lineage: Bacteria
Description: bacterial SSU rRNA
Rfam family: Bacterial small subunit ribosomal RNA
Source: RNAcentral
AGAGUUUGAUCCUGGCUCAGAAUCAACGCUGGCGGCGCGCUUAACACAUGCAAGUCGAGCGAGAAAGUGGGGCAACCCAUGAGUACAGCGGCGUACGGGUGAGUAACACGUGGGUAAUCUACCUCUUAGUGGGGAAUAACCCUGGGAAACCGGGGCUAAUACCGCAUAAGCCUGAGAAGGGAAAGCAGGAAUGCGCUGAGAGAGGAGCCCGCGGCCGAUUAGCUAGUUGGUGAGGUAACGGCUCACCAAGGCGAUGAUCGGUAGCCGGCCUGAGAGGGCACACGGCCACACUGGCACUGGGACACGGGCCAGACUCCUACGGGAGGCAGCAGUGGGGAAUCUUGCACAAUGGAGGCAACUCUGAUGCAGCGACGCCGCGUGAGCGAUGAAGCCCUUCGGGGUGUAAAGCUCUUUCGGCAGGGACGAUGAUGACGGUACCUGCAGAAGAAGCUGCGGCUAACUACGUGCCAGCAGCCGCGGUAAUACGUAGGCAGCGAGCGUUGUUCGGAAUUACUGGGCGUAAAGAGUGUGUAGGCGGUGGUCUAAGUUCGGUGUGAAAUCUCCCGGCUUAACUGGGAGGGUGCGCCGGAAACUGGAUUGCUGGAGCGUGGGAGAGGAAAGCGGAAUUCCUGGUGUAGCGGUGAAAUGCGUAGAUAUCAGGAGGAACACCCGCGGUGUAGACGGCUUUCUGGACCAUAGCUGACGCUGAGACACGAAAGCGUGGGUAGCAAACAGGAUUAGAUACCCCCGUAGUCC